This 392-nucleotide ribosomal RNA is filed under the name uncultured bacterium. RNAcentral's name for it is "partial 16S ribosomal RNA". It matches the Rfam family "Bacterial small subunit ribosomal RNA", at positions 523 to 918 of the family's 1533-position model. The record is from RNAcentral.
AUACGGAGGAUCCGAGCGUUAUCCGGAUUUAUUGGGUUUAACGGGUGCGCAGGCGGCCAUUUAAGUCAGCGGUUAAAUCGUGGGGCUCAACCCCAUUCUGCCGUUGAUACUGGGUGGCUUGAUUGCGGUCGAGGUUGGCGGAAUUCGUUGUGUAGCGGUGAAAUGCAUAGAUAUGACGAAGAACACCGAUUGCGUAGGCAGCUGACCAGACCGCAAAUGACGCUCAUGCACGAAAGUGCGGGGAUCGAACAGGAUUAGAUACCCUGGUAGUCCGCACAGUAAACGAUGAAUACUUGUUUUCGGCGAUAUAAUGUCGGAGGCAAAGCGAAAGCGAUAAGUAUUCCACCUGGGGAGUACGCCGGCAACGGUGAAACUCAAAGGAAUUGACGGGG